AUUGAACGCUGGCGGCAGGCCUAACACAUGCAAGUCGAGCGGAGCGGCGGACGGGUGAGUAAUGCUUAGGAAUCUGCCUGGUAGUGGGGGAUAACGUCCGGAAACGGGCGCUAAUACCGCAUACUAUCAGAUGAGCCUCGGCCGGAUUAGCUAGUUGGUGGGGUAAAGGCCUACCAAGGCGACGAUCCGUAACUGGUCUGAGAGGAUGAUCAGUCACACUGAAACUAUUACACGGUCCAGACUCCUACGGGAGGCAGUAGUGGGGAAUUGUGGACAAUGGACGAAAGCCUGAUCCACCCAUGCCGCGUGUGUGAAGGAGGGCUUCGGAUUGUAAAGCACUUUAAGGUGGGAGACGUUGCCAACAGAAUAAGCACCGGCUAACUCCGUGCCAGCAGCCGCGGUAAUUC
RNAcentral lists this ribosomal RNA (407 nucleotides) under uncultured bacterium. Its description in RNAcentral is "partial 16S ribosomal RNA". It matches the Rfam family "Bacterial small subunit ribosomal RNA", at positions 30 to 526 of the family's 1533-position model. The record is from RNAcentral.